CAUCAGUAUUCAGGCGUCAGAGGUGAAAUUCUUGGAUUGACUGAAGACUAACUACUGCCACAGCAUUUGCCAAGGACGUUUUCAUUAAUCAAGAACGAAAGUUAGGGGAUCGAAGAUGAUCAGAUACCGUCGUAGUCUUAACCAUAAACUAUGCCGACUAGGGAUCGGGUGGUGCUACUUUGCCCACUCGGCACCUUACGAGAAAUCAAAGUUUUUGGGUUCUGGGGGGAGUAUGGUCGCAAGGCUGAAACUUAAAGGAAUUGACGGAAGGGCACCACCAGGAGUGGAGCCUGCGGCUUAAUUUGACUCAACACGGGGAAACUCACCAGGUCCAGACGUAAUAAGGAUUGACAAGUUAGAGACUUCUCUUGAUCUUACGGGUGGUGGUGCAUGGCCGUUUUUAGUCCUUGGAGUGAUUUGUCUGCUUAAUUGCGAUAACGGACGAGACCUUAACCUGCUAAAUAGGGCUGCGAGCAUCUGCUCGGGUGCUCUUCUUAGAGGGACUAUGGGUAUCAAACCCAUGGAAGUUUGAGGCAACAACAGGUCUGUGAUGCCCUUAGACGUUCUGGGCCGCACGCGCGCUACACUGACGGAGCCGGCAAG
RNAcentral lists this ribosomal RNA (603 nucleotides) under [Candida] sp. Levazot15. RNAcentral describes it as "SSU rRNA". It matches the Rfam family "Eukaryotic small subunit ribosomal RNA", at positions 889 to 1519 of the family's 1831-position model. Lineage: Eukaryota; Fungi; Ascomycota; Saccharomycetes; Saccharomycetales. The record is from RNAcentral.